Molecule: long non-coding RNA, 291 nt
Organism: Chelonia mydas (Green sea turtle)
Lineage: Eukaryota; Metazoa; Chordata; Testudines; Cheloniidae
Exons: 4
Source: RefSeq, a predicted model, not a curated record
CCCAACCACUGGUCUGGCUUACUUCUCUUCUACUCCCGUAUUUGAGACCAGGCAAUAUUUACUAAUAAUUCAGAGGUACAGUAACUCAGAACAUCUGUGGACUGAAGCCAAGACCCAAACUAGACCCCCAUAGAGUACAAAAGAUGACACGGCGGCAGACUCAUGAGAUGACAGCUGGGUGUUCACAAUGACCAUGAUGGAUGUUAACUGCUGCAGAAGUUCAAGGUGUGUCAUUCUUGUUGGCCUUGGAGAGAAAUUCAGGAUCCAACCUUGCAGCAGGAAAAUCAACGG